Equus caballus (horse) is the source of this 2034-nucleotide long non-coding RNA. NCBI's taxonomy places the organism in Eukaryota, Metazoa, Chordata, Mammalia, Perissodactyla, Equidae. The record is from Ensembl.
GGUAUCCUUGCUAGUCUAAGUGUACAGGCAGUAUAGUAUAACACAGCCUCUCUUUCCCCAAAUAUAUUCCUCAAGACAUGACUAGAUGAUCAAUGAGAAAAGAGUUCCAUGAACGUGCAAGUUCAAGAAACAUUGGAGUAAACCAGGUUCAAUAGCCUUCUUUGCUACGGGCCUUCUCAGGGCCUUAGUAAGCUAAGGCACUCGUGAUUCUCAGAGGAUUACAGCGUGCAGCCUUUGACCACAGAAGACAUCUUUAUACCAGAGUAUGUGGAUCACCAGCUCCGAGGACAGUUGAAGCUGGGAGGUGCCACUGGCCACCUUUGUCACCACUGAGAGAAGCAUGCCUGGUGUUGAAGCCAACACAGAGUUGAAGAAACGGAUGCCCAAAGAAAGGAAUGGGUUGGCCUGUGGCACCCAGCCAGCAACUGACGGAGCCAGGAUUUGAAACAGAUUCACCCCGAAGGACAGAACCCAGAGGCUGCAUGUUCAGAAAGAUGACACAGCCAAGUUCCCCAAUAUCCACGACAGCCCUCUCUAUGGUUCCUAAGGCUCAUUAAGAUGGAAGAGCAAGACUCCAGCUUCUGGACAGAUUCCCAACAAGAAAAUUUAGAAGAGAGGACGGAGAACCAAAGUUUUGCCUUGGCCCCGCCCCUUUUGAGCUACGUAAGUCUGAGCAGGUGCUUUUCCUCUCCAGCCCCAAUUCCUAUAAAAUGGUUGGGGUGGAAGUGGAAUCUCUCUAAGAUCCCCCAAGCUGGAAAAUCCAAGAUAAUAAAUAGAGAUGGGCUUGUUCUCUGGAAUGUCCUUCCCCUAAGUUCUGGCAAAGUUGAGCUCUCUUGGCUUAAAUACAAGGAGGUUGGCAUCUCCUUAGUGGUUCUGAAUAAUUGUGUGGUUUAAUUAUCCAUGUGCCCAAGGGAAGAGGAGAGUGGGUGCAUUUUUUACACUGAUCUAAUCAAAGACUGCUUAAUUCAGGAUGAAGCUUCUCAGAGGGUGCAACAUCUCUGUUUCCAGGAGCACCAGAUGGAGGGGCUGGAGCUGGCUUCCCUCGAGGUGAUGCUGAGGAAAUGACACAGGGAGUUCACUCAUGAAAAGUCCCGGGGACAUCAACUGAGGAAAAAGCCACAUGUUUCUCAAUACAUUCCCGUUAGUACAGAGGGUGGCAGAUCCAGCCACGCCUCUCAAGGCCUAAAGCAGCAGGGAAACUCCACAAUCACAUGUGCACAGCAAGAUCGGAGGCUGAAGCCCUCGUAUUUUUCUGGGUAUUUUUGUUUGGCUUUUUAUUUUUUUAAGGCACUCAAUUCUGCUUACAAUGUAACGGGCACUGUGUUCUGGCAGGAUCUGCUUUUAAAAUAAAAGGUGGGGGAUAGAUAAGAAAUUAACAGGCCUCUUGAGUACAUGAUGACCUGUCAUAACUUUGACACCUGACAAUUGGAGAAUGGGGAGUAGAUGAAAAAUAACACAGUAAGGCUCUCCCUGACUCAAAAGGUUCAGAGAACCGGGCAUUUUGUCAGAAACUAGCAAACAACUAUAAUGUAUUCAAUUUGGAGAGACUUGGCUUUCCACCUCUUACUAGAGUGAAAAUUAUUUUUUCUACCCAAUACUAAAUCUUCCUGCUCUAGAGAAUUCCCCACUAAGAGUGCUGGAAUAAGGCAGAGCCCAUCUCCGCUAUAGAAAUCUGAAAGGCCAGGUACUCACUUUCCAAGCUUCCCUUGCAGCUAAGUCACAGCCAAUCAGAUGGACCCACCAGCUUUCAACCAGAAGCUGGUGAUGCAAAGAAGUGGGGCCAAUGGAAAAGCCAUUCUGGUGAGGCCAGCAGCAGGAGCAGCAAUUUCUGAUCUCCAGGGACAGUGAUGGUGGCAACGGUACCUUGGUGAUGUCCUCUGGUCAGGCAAGAUGUCAUCAGUGUCCUCACCAGUGACCACAAUUCUGGCCUUGGUCCUGGCUGCCAUCUUGCCUUCCUGUUCCAGCUCAUUUUGUAAGCCUGGGACUUCCUGGUGAUUCUGUGAGCUCCCCAGGAGCCUUUCAGUAAAUUCUUUG